This 253-nucleotide ribosomal RNA is filed under the name uncultured bacterium. Its description in RNAcentral is "partial 16S ribosomal RNA". It matches the Rfam family "Bacterial small subunit ribosomal RNA", at positions 524 to 776 of the family's 1533-position model. The record is from RNAcentral.
UACGGAGGAUCCAAGCGUUAUCCGGAAUCAUUGGGUUUAAAGGGUCCGUAGGCGGUUUAGUAAGUCAGUGGUGAAAGCCCAUCGCUCAACGGUGGAACGGCCAUUGAUACUGCUGAACUUGAAUUAUUAGGAAGUAACUAGAAUAUGUAGUGUAGCGGUGAAAUGCUUAGAGAUUACAUGGAAUACCAAUUGCGAAGGCAGGUUACUACUAAUGGAUUGACGCUGAUGGACGAAAGCGUGGGUAGCGAACAGG